UUCUCUGCUAACAGAACAACAGAUAGAUAUGGAAUAUAUAAAGUGACAGUGCCAGAGGUUGAUGGUGUUGAUUGUGCGGUGGGAUCGACAAUUGAAUUAGUAUGCCAGGCAAGUUUAAUACGGAGCUCAUAUCCAGCCUGCAACGUUCCUGGUUUAAAGAUGUCAACAGACGUGAUAUCAGUCAAGUCAAAGCAGAACAAUCUCUGUAUUUACAGCAUGAAUGCUUUGAGUUACAGACCUUCCAAAAAAAAUGCUACCUUGUGUGGGAAACACAAAGAAGAGUUGCAGAUUUCUUUCAACUCUUCAAAGUUUUUUCUCCCUUACUCCCCACCCUAUGGGUUCCCAUGGCAUACCUUGCCUAACAUGUCACCAUCACCCUUCCCUCCAUUACCUACGCCAUCUCAGCCUUUUC
RNAcentral lists this long non-coding RNA (412 nucleotides) under Populus trichocarpa (black cottonwood). RNAcentral describes it as "long non-coding RNA (PTRI_LNC001023)". The record is from RNAcentral. Lineage: Eukaryota; Viridiplantae; Streptophyta; Magnoliopsida; Malpighiales; Salicaceae.